This 536-nucleotide ribosomal RNA is filed under the name Sphingoaurantiacus sp. RNAcentral describes it as "bacterial SSU rRNA". It matches the Rfam family "Bacterial small subunit ribosomal RNA", at positions 168 to 733 of the family's 1533-position model. Lineage: Bacteria; Pseudomonadati; Pseudomonadota; Alphaproteobacteria; Sphingomonadales; Sphingosinicellaceae. The record is from RNAcentral.
ACGCGUAUGAUGUCUUCGGACCAAAGAUUUAUCGCCUAGGAUGAGCCCGCGUCGGAUUAGCUAGUUGGUGGGGUAAAGGCCUACCAAGGCGACGAUCCGUAGCUGGUCUGAGAGGAUGAUCAGCCACACUGGGACUGAGACACGGCCCAGACUCCUACGGGAGGCAGCAGUGGGGAAUAUUGGACAAUGGGCGAAAGCCUGAUCCAGCAAUGCCGCGUGAGUGAAGAAGGCCUUCGGGUUGUAAAGCUCUUUUACCCGGGAAGAUAAUGACUGUACCGGGAGAAUAAGCCCCGGCUAACUCCGUGCCAGCAGCCGCGGUAAUACGGAGGGGGCUAGGCGUUGUUCGGAAUUACUGGGCGUAAAGCGCACGUAGGCGGCUUUACAAGUCAGGGGUGAAAGCCCGCGGCUCAACCGCGGAAUUGCCCUUGAGACUGUAUCGCUUGAACACGGGAGAGGUGAGGUGGAAUUCCGGAGUGUAGGAGGUGAAAUUCGUAGAUAUUCGGAAGAACACCAGUGGCGAAAGGCGGCUCACUGGA